Molecule: ribosomal RNA, 388 nt
Filed under: uncultured bacterium
Lineage: Bacteria
Description: bacterial SSU rRNA
Rfam family: Bacterial small subunit ribosomal RNA
Source: RNAcentral
AUUGAACGCUGGCGGCAUGCCUUACACAUGCAAGUCGAACGGCAGCGGACCUUCGGGUGCCGGCGAGUGGCGAACGGGUGAGUAAUAUAUCGGAACGUACCUUUCAGUGGGGGAUAACGUAGCGAAAGUUACGCUAAUACCGCAUAUUCUGUGAGCAGGAAAGCAGGGGAUCGCAAGACCUUGCGCUGAUUGAGCGGCCGAUAUCAGAUUAGCUAGUUGUGAGGUAAAGGCUCACCAAGGCGACGAUCUGUAGCGGGUCUGAGAGGAUGAUCCGCCACACUGGAACUGAGACACGGUCCAGACUCCUACGGAGGCAGCAGUGGGGAAUUUUGGACAAUGGGCGCAAGCCUGAUCCAGCCAUGCCGCGUGAGUGAGAAGCCUGUGUAGA